RNAcentral lists this long non-coding RNA (392 nucleotides) under Homo sapiens (human). Its description in RNAcentral is "LNC_000700". The record is from RNAcentral. Lineage: Eukaryota; Metazoa; Chordata; Mammalia; Primates; Hominidae.
UCUGGCUCCAAGAAUUCUUUUUUUUCUGUGGCUUUCAAAAACUCCUCCAGAGUCACCAAUCUGUCUUUGUUAGUAUCAACCUCAUUCAUUACAUGUUCCCUCAUUCUAAGCCUUUCUUCUUCCAUUUCUACCAUAUCAUCCUCUUCAUUUUUAGGGUCAUAUACUUUCUCCAACUCUUUAGUAAAUAGGGCUUCUAAUUCUUGUUCAUCCAGGAAUCCAUCACUAUUGACAUCAUGUAAUUUGAAAAAUGUCUUGGGGUCAAAGUCAUUAGGAUCCAAUCCAUCAGUCUCUUCCCAUACCUCUUUUAGUUGAUCUUUGCUUCCUGGGUGAUUAACUUUAGGGUGAUUUUCAUGCUUUUUCUUCAUUUCUUCAAAUUUAGACUCUUCUUCUUU